UCAUUGAGCCUUCCUGAUGAGUACUCUCUGUUAUUCCAAUUCAAAGAGAACAUUUCAAUUAACAAUUCUGCAUCCUUUGAUUCUCAUGCUUAUCCAAAGGUUUCUUCAUGGAACCUCAACAGAUCAGAUGGUGCAGGAAAUUGCUGCUUAUGGGAUGGGGUCGAGUGCAAGUCCGGUAAUGUGAUUGGGCUCGACUUGAGCAACAGCUUUCUCUAUGGCCCCAUCUCCUCCAACAAUAGUCUCUUCAACCUCAUUCACCUUCGCACACUAAACCUUGCAGAUAACGAUUUUUGUUCAUCUCAAAUUCCAUCUAAAAUAGGACGAGUCUCGCUGUUAGCAAAUCUGAAUCUGUCACGUUCUCUCUUCAGUAGGGAGAUCCCAAAACAAAUCUCACAGCUCAGAAAUUUGGCUUCCUUGGAUCUAACAGGAAACGGGUACCACGCUCUAAAGCUGCAAAGUUCUAACUUCCAAAAUCUAGUUCAAAAUUCAAGUGAGACUCUAAGAGAACUCUUUCUCUCAGAGGUCAACAUUGAUUGUCAACAUUGAUUCUGAACUACCAACUUCAAUCGGGAACCUCACACGCUUGAACAUCUUGAAAUUAAGUAAUUGUGGUUUAGCGGGGACUCUGCAUGCAUCUGUAGGCAACCUGACCCGGCUUACAGUUCUGGAUCUAGGUAACAAUUACUUUUCGGGACCUAUUCCAUCAGGUAUAUUUAACUUGCAAACCCUGCAACUUCUUGAUGUGCAUUGUAACUACAAGCUUACUGGCCAUAUCCCUGAGUUUCAUGGUAAUAAUGAACUAAAAACAACUGAUUGUGGCUUUUACAAAUUUUCAAGGAUCCAUACCAGCUUCAAUCUGGAAUCUCACACACUUGAAAGUAUUGGAUUUAGGUUUCAGCUCUUUCACGGGGACUCUACAUGCUUCGGUAAGCAACAUGACACAGCUUACAUUUCUGGAUCUUUCUGGUAUUGAGUUCACAGGUAGUCUUCCGUCUUUAGAAAGGUUUUCAAACCUCGCAUAUUUGUCCCUCUCCGGUAGUAGUUUUGAUAGAUGGAAACUACCUGAUUGGUUUGGUAAGUUAAAGAAGAUCACUUAUUUGAAUCUUGAAGAUGUCAACCUAUACGGUGAAAUUCCAUCAUCAUUUUUCAAUCUGACCCGAGUUGGAACGUUAGUUCUUUCCAGAAAUCAAUUAAUAGGACAACUUCCAAGCUCAUUGUUGAAUCUUCAAAAUCUGGAAUCUUUUUAUUUGGAUGGUAACAAUGCCACAGUGGACUUUUAUCUUUUUCUUUCUCUUAAGAAUCUUAACUAUCUGAAUCUACGUGGAAACAAUAUCAGACUUUCAGUCAUAGAUAGCCACAAAACCGAAACUCAAUUCAAAGUUUUAUGGCGGGCAUCCUGUAACUUGAAAGUCUUUCCUGAAUUUCUGCGGUUUCAACAUCAACUGGAGUUCUUGUACCUUGAUAACAAUAAAAUUGAGGGCUUGAUACCCGGAUGGAUGUGGAAUAUCAGCAAGGAAACACUAAUUGAACUUAGGCUUUCUCAAAAAACUUACUAAUGGGUUUUGAGCAACAUUCACUGGUUGCUCCUUGGGUUAAUUUAAUGAUACUGGACCUGAGUCACAACAUGCUGCAUGGAUCGAUCCCAUUGCCACCACCACUCACCUAUUCCUUUUCAGUCUCAAACAAUAAGCUGACCGGAGAAAUUCCACCAUCCAUAUGCAACUAGAUCUAUCUCCAGUCGCUUGAUUUGUCGUUCAACAUCAUUACUGGCUCGAUUCCUCCAUGCUUGGAGAAAUUAAGCAAUUCUAAUUUGGUAGUAUUGAAUCUUAGGAACAACGCUUUGCAAGGAACCAUCCCCAACGUAUUCACCAAUAAAAGUCAGCUUGAGAUGAUUGAUUGAAGUGCAAAUAAGUUGGAGGGGCAAGUACCUAGAUCACUGGAGAACUGUAUGUCACUCCAGUUCUUCAAUCUUGGAUAUAACUUUAUAGAGGACAUGUUCCCGGUCUGGUUGGGAGCACUUCCAGAGCUACAAGUUCUCAUACUCAGGUUCAACAAAUUUCAUGGUAUUAUAAAAGUACCAAGUAAAAUCGAAGUCAACUUCCCAAAAUUGCGCAUCAUUGACCUCUCGAAUAAUUCAUUUUCUGGUGAUUUGCCACAUCACUAUUUCCAGGCGUGGUCAGCAAUGAAGGAGACCAAGGCGAAUGUAAAAUAUAUGGAUGUAGAAAGGUUGAUAGCUUAUCAAUUCUUAUUCUCGAUUCAGAUGACUAACAAAGGUGUAAAGAUGGACUAUGAGAAGAUCAUCAACACCUUUUCUGCAGUUGAUCUCUCAAGUAACAAGUUUAGAGGAAAGAUUCCAGAGUCUAUUAAAACCCUUAGUGGUCUUAAGUUGCUCAACCUCUCGAAUAACGAACUUUCUGGCGUCAUCCCACCAUCCAUAAGGAAUCUCAUACAUCUUGAAUCAUUGGAUCUUUCAAGUAACAAGCUCUCUGGAAUGAUACCUCAAGACUUGGUACAACUGAAUUUUCUUGUCGUCUUAAAUGUAUCCAACAACCACCUCACUGGACCAAUACCAAAAGGUAGCCAGUUCAAUACCUUUUCGAACAAUUCUUACAUGGGAAUCAGGCGUUGUGUAGAUACCCUUUAUCCACGAAAUGUGGGGAUUCAAAAGCAUCAGAGCGUCCAAAAGUUUCAAUUGAAGAAGAUACCGUGACUUCCCAAACAAAAUUGAUUGGGUUGUUAUACUUAUCCCACUCGGUCAAAAGAGGAAAUGCAAAAAUAGUAUUUACACCAAGUGGUUUAUGAAAAAAUCGUUUAUCUCAAAUGUCUUUCAUAUACUUAUUUCUAGGGGUGUAUGUUAGGUACUUAAAACCAAAAUGAACCAGAACCCAGAAUUUCUGGAAAAUCGUUACCGUAGGCCGACCGACAUAGGGUGGGUUGGUCUCUGUCAUUUUGGGUUGGGUUGGUAUCAGAUUGGGCCAGGACCGUAUAUGAAUUUUUACAUUAAGAUGUUUCAUAUUUCAAUUUGUACGGGACUGGACGGAAGCCGAAUCCACCUCAAAUAAAACUAAGGACCCAACCAAAUAUGCUUUGCUUAAACGGUCCAGACCUGGGUUGGAUUAACAAGGCCGUUCCAACGUUUUUGGAGGCCCUAGACGACCUACAAAGUCAGGGCCCUAUUGAAUUGGUAUAAAGGAAUUGAGAUUGAGAUUUGAGACAUUGAAUAACCAUAGCGAUGAUUUUUCCUAAUCUUGGCCCCAAUUUCUCUCAAUCCGCAAUCAGUUUCACAUUGAUUACUCAAAAGACGCCGCAAGUAACGAGGGUUGAUGUGUUGUGUGCGUGGACAAUGCAGACUCCUAGUGUAAAUCCUAAAUCUUGGGCCUAGAAACGUUGGUUAAAUGGCAAAAAACUAGUCUAAUAUAUGAAAGGAAAUAAAAUUGGAGGCCCUUGUUUUUUGGUGGCCCUGGGCCUUAGCCUGGGUUGAUAAGCCUUACGGGCCGGCCCUCGAACCCUGCCUGAAAUUACUGAGACCGUCCUCCUCCUCCCAUACCAGCAUGGCCUUCGUGAUGAUUUUCAAGAAAUUUUGGGUUCGGGUUCGGUUUGGAUUCAACCCAAUGUACACCCCUAAAAAUAAGUUAUAUAAAGAUAUUUGAGAUAAACGAAUUGUUAUCAACCGCUUAUAUUCAAUUAUAUAUAUAUAUGGAACCCAUUAAGUGUAACCACUUUUUGAAUCAUUCUUGUCCAUUGGAUCAUGCUGAAAAUAAAUCCUGACCCUCUAAACUCCUAUUUUUAACUGCUAACAUAGCAGUUCACAGCAGUUUCAUAGUCUCCACAUUUUUCUGCCCAUGUUCUCCACAAAUCAUGUUUCCUAAUCUGGUCCACGUUCUAAUUGUUCCAACUCCCAUGUUUGCUUUAUAACCUCAUUCAAACUCCCCAAAACCACCGUUCUGCUCCUUUUCUUGUAAUGCUUUUUAAACCAUCAUCGUUGACGCUCCAAUACUCCGACAAUCCAUCCGUACUAACAACAAGAGAGCAAUCAAUCCUGCACUCACCACGUCAAUAGCAAUGGCCACCGGUUUGGUUUGGCUGGAGCUUCUUAAUGUUAUUGGCGGGCCACAAAGGGGAAGACUAACGAAUUUCUACACAUCGUACCCGUAUAAUGUUUCGAUUUGAAAUCUGGUUCGUACAACACUUGGGUUUAGUUCUUAUUUGAAGAUGCAGAGACAAAGAAUGAUUUCAGUUGUUUUUGUAUGUGAGUGAGUCACUUCCAUAGAGCACAAAGAUAUUUGAUGCUUGACGAGCAACAUUUUCUCUUGCACGCCAGGUGUUCGACAAAAUGCCAAAAAGAAAUUUAGUAUCAUGGAAGGUUAUUGCCUUCACUGGAAAUGCCCUACAGCAACAUGGAGGUUUACAAGCAAAUAAUUUGUGGGUAAGAUUCAUACACGUGAAGAUGGUGGUAAGUAUAUUGGAGAAUUUAAAGGAGGUAUUAAACAUGGGCUUGGGCCUUGCCCACUAUCAUUUCAGCUAUUAGAUCAGAACGAGGUGCAAAAUUUACUCCCAUCAACCCUUAAAGCCCAAAGUUGUGGAUUGAAAGUUGUACUGGAUGGUUUAAGAGCCGGGUGAUGGAGUAUAAGCAGAAAAUGAAGUAGAAGCUUAUGACACAACCAAGAUACUUACUUUGGAAAUUUGAUUGGCGCUUAAGAAAGUCUUCAAAUUAGCUAAUAUGAAUUUCAGAGGUGAACACCAAAACGUGGGUGAUGGAAAAGAAAGCAGAAAAUGAAGCAGAAGCGUUGAAGUGGGUGUGGAGGCUUGAGAACAUUAAUGAUACUUUCAUGGAGCACCUAUGGUACCUGACUUGGUAUACUUCAACUAUCCUUAUUUUAUCAUUAACUAUAUUUUACCAGUAGUUAAAUUUGUAUGAUUAUAAAGUCUUAACUGUAAAAAUUGAUGGGAAUGACCCAAUCUGCAUGUUAUAUAAUAUUAGUUCAGUUUUAACUCCAAAUAACGUGAUAAGUAAAUAUGUGUCAUAUCAUUCACUUAUCUCUUAAGAUAUACAAGGAUCUAUACUGAACCAUAGUUUGCGUUCUGUUACCUAUUAUAAUUGAAAAAUAGACUCAGGUCACUACUUGGGUCUGCUUAUUUAUUGGAUAUAGAAAAAUGGAUGGGAUGACUCAUUUUGGUAAUAGACUUAUUUAUUGGAUAUAGAAAAAUGGAUGGGAUGACUCAUUUUGGUAAUAGACUGGUCAAAAUGAGUGCUUCUAAUUAGAGGUAGCAACAUGUACACGCAGUUAGCUUAAAUAAUAGCGUCAAGAUGUUCGGCUUAACCGUACACGCUGCAAAAACAGGUUGGUCAAGCCAACCUGGAUAUUGCUUAACAGGCUGAGCCUACACAUGGUAUAAUAAUAUACCAGCCGGAAGCAUUCACCCAUGGAGAUAGAUGGUAAAAAUCCAUCUAGAAAGAGCACACAAAAGCUUAAUCUCUGGUUUUGUAAAUGGGAAAAUACGUUUUUGUUAAAAUGAGUGCUUUUUAUUAAAAAAUAUCCACGUCAAACUGGAAGUUUGUUUAUUCAUUUAGGGGUAAUAAACCUAGUGGUAGAUUAAAGUGAUUUGGAGAUAGAUGUAUAACUUCAUUGGCCCUUUGAGGAAGUCGAGACUUUGAGAUAAAAAGGCCAGAAGAGAUUGAGCUAGAGCCCAAUUCCAUUAAUUCACUCGAUACAGGAACAACUACACAGGUUUUAUACUUCUAUUAUCAAUUUUAAUUUCUAUCGUUUUGUGGUUGUAAACUGUUGACGUUCGUUUUCCAUUUAUAAAUUAAAGAAUGGUGCUUUUGUUUGUCACAUUGUUUAAUUUUGUGUACGCUUAACAUAUGUUAGCUUGGUUUGUCACGUUGUACGCUUAACAGGUACAUUGUUCUACUAUCCACCCAUAGUUAUUGAUGCAUUUGUUUUAAAGCUCGAGACAUCAUAAUUUUCAUUUCAUUUCAUAGUGUUUAUGAGUUUUUCUAUAACAAUCAUAAGACCAUUGGAUGCACGUGGGAUCCACAAAGUAUGGGUGCUAAACGGGUCGUGUUCACGGGUUGGCAAGUUCAACCCGACACGAACCCGAAAACUUUAGACGGACCCGAACCGACCCGAACCUGAAAAUCGUGCCAUAUAUAUGAACCUGAACCCGACCCGAAUAUUCGCAUACUGACCCGAAACCAACCCGUUCAACCCGAAUUUUUUAUUUUUUUAUUUUUUUUUUCAGCAAAUUAAUAUAUUAAUAUUAUAUAAUAAAAUUACAUUAAAAUCAUAAAAAUUUAUGUCAACUUCCAUUUUUAAGUUAUAUUUAUAGCAUAAAAUACACACCCAACUUAAUUUAUCACAAUAAACAUAUUUUAAAAAAUAUAAUAUAAUAGAAAUGAGUUAAACGGGUCAACCCGUCAACCCGACUGGGUUGAGCCGAACCUGACCUAUUUAGCUAAACGGGUUCGCAGGUUCAAACUGAAACUGACCCGAACCCGUUUAGACUAAACCCAAACCCACGAAUUUCGUGUUAGGUUCGUGUCGUGUUUUCGGGUCGUGUCAGAAAUUCACACCCCUACCACAAAGGCAAAGUUUCUUUCGCUUUCAGUUUGCCUAAAUGCAGGUGUCUCUUCACCAGAAUUUAUACUCAGAAGAGAAUUUGUAAGAGUUCUAUAAACAGAAAACAUGAACAAAAUCAGACUAGAGAGAUGGUUGUAUGAAGUUGUAGUUGAAAGGUGUUGGUGGAAAGCAAAAUCCCUAUUGAAAUCCAUAAAAAUGCACAUCCACAGUGCCAUCACUAAGGAGAAAGAUAUGCCUUGGUGUUAGCUUCCAACACCAGGAUUUAUUCAGGAGAUAAUUUUUAAAGAUGGAUUCGACAAAUCAUGGGAUUCUUCAAGGGAAAUGGUAAGCAGCUCUUGUGAAAGUAUAAAAAUUUUUAUAAAAUUGUCACUUAUGUCAUGAAAACUUUGAUUUAGUUUCACAGGUUGAAUCUGCAUUUGAGUCUGCAAAAAUUUUUAUAAAAUUGUCACUUAUGUCACUACCACAAUUUUGAAUUUUCCUGUGAAAGUAAGCAAUCCCGUAAUGAUGGUUCAAGCAUAUCAUCUUCUUGUGGCUAAAAUGUAUGUUUAGUGUAGGGAUUGUGCCAAUAUAUAUAUUAAGCCCAAGCAGCCUAACCGUCAUUGAUAUCAAUCCCCACCGUUAGAUAUUGCUGAAACUAAAUCCUGACCGUUUAAACUCCACUUUUUAACUGUUGUUGUGGCAGUUGUGGGCGGUUUAUUUCUCAUCGUCGGUUAACCCACUCUCCUUUUUCUCAUCCUAAAUCCUUGCUACCACAACCGCACCUCCCGUAGGUUCUUUAAUGGUUCGUCCCCAAACCUUCCAUUCUCAUUCUUAGAUUUACAUUCUUCAACUGUUCACCCAAACCCUGCAGCGAUUCAAAGUUCAUCCAACUUUACAAUCCCUUCUGCCUUAUUUCUUAUACUCUUUAUCUUUUUAUAUUUCUGGGAAAUUAGUGUGGAUCAAGCAAGCAUGAAUUCAGUUGCAAAAGUAUUGAAGGUUAGUUGUCUAUUAAGUACGUUGUUUAGAGGAUUACCUUUAUUAUUUUCAAUGUCUUUUUUAUCAUAUUAUUUGUAACCUUGAAGCCUCCUACAUAUGGAAUUUAAUGUAAUUGAUUCCCUUGAUGCUUGGUUAUUUUGCAGGUUUGACCCGACCGGGUCUUUAAGUACAUCUUACAAGUUAUCAUAAUCCGGUGGAUGGGUUACGCUAACAGCGUAACAAUGCUCCACCCGUGUCAUCCACUCCACCGGUAUCCAUUUUUAGGACAUCCACACCGCUUACUACCACAAAUCACCGUCGCUCUUCCCAAACCUGUGUCACCUACAAACCAACUCUACUUUUCUUAGACUAUACGGAGGGGGGGGGGGGCAUGAAAGAGUUGCGUUAUUCGACAUGUGACUUGCACGUCAGCACAUGUAAGAAAAAAGUGGCGUGGUGCAAAAAAGGGAGGAGCGGGAGCGGCGUGGUUAGUGGCAUUUUUAUAAAAAAAAAACUAAUAAUAAAUAUCAACCAAAACACAUCCGAUAUCCACCCACCAAUCAAGAGCCCCCACCUCACAACCCAAAUACACACUACGCCGGUGGAAAACUCCACGCCCUCACUACCACGCCACCACAGGAGGUGGUGUUCUCGGUUAAAAGGGCCACUACGCCACUAUUCCACGCCCACACCACGUGGUCUCAAGAAUUAAAUAUCCUCAUAUUACUCUUGAAACACUGAAAAGUUGAUUGCACAUCAAAAGUUAAAGGUCAAAAACUAAUUGACAUAAUUAAUUGUAAUAAAAAUCAGUUUUAAUCCGUA
This is a long non-coding RNA of Helianthus annuus (common sunflower), 8357 nucleotides long. RefSeq lists it as uncharacterized. The record is from RefSeq and is a predicted model, not a curated record. Lineage: Eukaryota; Viridiplantae; Streptophyta; Magnoliopsida; Asterales; Asteraceae. The transcript has 6 exons.